CGGAAAAGCUGCGUCAAAGAGGUAUUACUCAAGGGGAGUUUCAGGCACGCUACACUUUCGGUUUCGUCCGGCUGCUUGGAGACGCAAGUUCUUUUAUCUCUUCGCCCAUCAAUCCUUGCUUCCUUCAAUUUAUGAAAGGAUCGCCAGCCUCUUCGUUUGAAACUCAUUAUGCAAAUGAUCCAAAGGCUUCAAUUAACUGGCCAAGAACAAUUAUUUGCUCUUUUCCUUCUACUAGUGAGGGAGAUGAUCACGUGGAACAGGUGAGACGCAGUGACUCCUGCAUCUCAUAAAACUUUCUGCUCCAGCCAUUUUAUGGCAGAAUUAUCUUAACAUCGCUUCAAUGAAUUCUAAUGUUUUAUUUGCAGCACUCGUAAUUUAAAAAUAAAAAAAAAAUACUGCCAAUGUUUUUACAAUUUCAAAGCUACAACUAUUCUGCAGAUAAUAAAACGGGAAGCUGCCUUUAUCGUAUAACUAAAGAUGUAACCGAGCGCCGGUUUGAACCCUUGCAAGUGACAGCAAUUCACAGAGAAGAGCAACUGCAUCCUGCGAGGGCAUCGUUUUACAUCACCACAACGGAGAACCACUUCGUAAAAUGUUUAUUGAGGAUGGUAACACAGGAGAAAUCAUGCAACAGCUCAGUAAAAAAAUGAAAGCUAGAGAACAGGACUCGAUGCGGCCAAUUCAGGAACAAGUCUAUAAAAGGGACAAUUGAUCGUCCAAAAACUGGCACAUCUAAAAGCUAAACAAAGACGCUUUUACUUCUAAAAGGAUUCUGUAUUAAAAAGUUGGAGACGCCGUUAAAAAUUGCCACUUAUGGAUGGCUUCCACUGGACGAUGAUUCGCAGGGCUGGCAUGAACACUUCUGUCAAUAAAAAACGGUUUAGAAACGCGCACACACACACCCCUCCAAAAAUUACAGAAUAAUUUUAGUCUGAACGGGGCGCAUGCAAACAGGAAUGACUGCCGCGAAACCAUUACAUUGGGAGAGAGGGGAAAAUGCAUCGGGACCAGAUAAGUCUUAACUCGUGUCUUUAAGAGGUGAACGGAAAUAGAGGGGAGUUAAUUUAUUAACAGAUGCUACGGAAGCAUCUUUCGUGAAGGGGGGGGAAGCAAAAUGAGUAAUUGGAGACAUGGAUGAAACCGUGACCCUUUUCCCACAAAGAGUUUUCCGACAACGGUAGUUAAGAUUUCAGCCGACAUAAAACAGGGAACAGAGGAAAAUAAAUACAGUGGAAUGAAAUUUGAAAUCAAACAGGGAACAAGGGAGUUACCAUCCUUCAAUCAAGCCCAAUCCUGUGUGUGCCAAAAUAACUCAGCAAUUGACAGGACAGUUGUUUGGAAAUAAGUGU
This is a long non-coding RNA of Crotalus tigris (Tiger rattlesnake), 1349 nucleotides long. RefSeq lists it as uncharacterized. Lineage: Eukaryota; Metazoa; Chordata; Lepidosauria; Squamata; Viperidae. The record is from RefSeq and is a predicted model, not a curated record. The transcript is spliced from 2 exons.